This 466-nucleotide ribosomal RNA is filed under the name uncultured bacterium. Its description in RNAcentral is "bacterial SSU rRNA". It matches the Rfam family "Bacterial small subunit ribosomal RNA", at positions 329 to 793 of the family's 1533-position model. The record is from RNAcentral.
UUCCAGACUCCUACGGGAGGCAGCAGUGAGGAAUAUUGGUCAAUGGGCGGGAGCCUGAACCAGCCAAGUCGCGUGAGGGAUGACUGCCCUAUGGGUUGUAAACCUCUUUUGUAUGGGGGGAAUAAGCUUUACGAGUAGAGUGAUGACAGUACCAUACGAAUAAGCAUCGGCUAACUCCGUGCCAGCAGCCGCGGUAAUACGGAGGAUGCGAGCGUUAUCCGGAUUUAUUGGGUUUAAAGGGUGCGUAGGCGGAAUGCCAAGUCAGCGGUAAAAUCGCGGGGCUCAACCUCGCUCCGCCGUUGAAACUGGCGUCCUUGAGUGGGCGAGAAGUAUGCGGAAUGCGUGGUGUAGCGGUGAAAUGCAUAGAUAUCACGCAGAACUCCGAUUGCGAAGGCAGCAUACCGGCGCUCAACUGACGCUCAUGCACGAAAGUGUGGGUAUCGAACAGGAUUAGAUACCCUAGUAA